Molecule: long non-coding RNA, 5654 nt
Filed under: Hordeum vulgare
Lineage: Eukaryota; Viridiplantae; Streptophyta; Magnoliopsida; Poales; Poaceae
Description: long non-coding RNA (HVUL_LNC001768)
Source: RNAcentral
GUAAGAGAAUAUAUUCCUUCCAAUGAUCAACAUGUACAAUGGUGUUACAUAUAUAUAGCAGAGGUGGAGGAGAGCCGGUCCAGAUCCUACAUACAAGGACGGCUUAGACUAAGUGCUAUGACUAGGUAAAGGGUAACGUUAACACCCCCCUCAGCCGGGACGCCAUAUGGAUGGACGUUCAGGCUGGAACGGAAGUCGGUGAACUCGAUGUAGGCAGUCCUUUAGUGAAUAGAUCCGCAAAUUGCGAGCUGGAAGGAACAUGAAGAACCCGAGUGUCACCGAGGGCCACCUUGUCCCGUACAAAAUGAAGAUCAAUCUCGAUGUGUUUCGUCCUUUGGUGCUGCAUGGGAUUGCUGGCAAGGUAUGAUGCACUGACGUUGUCACAAUAGACAAUGGUGGCGCGAGUAGGGGGGCGAAGUAGCUCGUGGAGGAGCUGGCGAAUCCAGCAAGUCUCGGCGACGCAGUUUGCUAUACCUCGAUAUUCUGCCUCUGCGCUAGAACGACUGACCGUGACCUGCCGUUUCGAGGACCAGGAGACGAGGUUGGUGCCGAGGAACACGCAAAAGCCCGACGUAGAUCGGCGUGUGUCCGGACAGCCUGCCCAAUCGGCGUCGGUGUAGGCGAGGAGAUGUUGUGAGGAGGCUUUCUAGAGUUGGAUGCCGAAGUGAGACGUACCCUUGAUGUAGCGGAGAAUCCGCUUGACAAGUUGCAUGUGUGUGUCGCGAGGUUGAUGCAUGAACAGGCAAACUUGUUGGACAGCAUAGGAUAUGUCUGGGCGGGUGAGUGUGAGAUAUUGCAGCGCGCCGGCCAGACUGCGGUAGUGCGUGGGGUUGACGAGAGGGCGACCAGCGCUAGCAGAAAGUUUGGAGGAGGUGUCGACUGGUGUGGGAACUGGCUUACAGUUGAGCAUGUCGGCGUGAUCCAAAAUUUCAAGGGCAUACUGUUGUUGGCACAAGAACAAGCCGGAGGUGUUGGGAGUGACGUUAAUGCCGAGAAAGUGGUGGAGUUCCCCGAGAUCUGUCAUGGAGAAUUCUUGUUUGAGGGAGUGGAUGAUGUGGUGGAGGGUAUGUUGGGAGCUGGCAGUGAGGAUGAUAUCGUCGACAUAUACCAGGAGAUAUGCGAUGGAGGAGCCACGGCGCAUAAUGAAGAGGGAGGUGUCGCUUUUGGACGCUGUGAAACCCAUGGAAACAAGGAACGAGCGGAAGCGGUGGAACCAGGUGCGUGGAGCUUGUUUGAGACCGUAGAGGGAUUUGCGAAGAAGACAAACAUGGUUGGGAGAGGAGCUGUCGAUGAACCCGGAAGGCUGAGCGCAGUAGACAGUCUCCUUUAAAUCACCAUGGAGGAAGGCGUUCUUGACGUCGAGUUGAUGGAUGGGCCAGCUGUUGGAGGUGGCAAUACUCAAGACGACGCAUAUGGUAGCAGGCUUCACCACGGGGCUGAAGGUCUCGGUGUAGUCGACGCCUUCCUGCUGUGUGAAGCCACGAACGACCCAUCAGGCCUUGUACCGUGCCAGGGAGCCAUCCAGAUGAAAUUUAUGGCGAAAAAUCCAUUUGCCCGACACCACGUUGACACCUGCAGGUUUGGGAACCAAAGACCAAGUCGAGUUCUGGAUUAAAGCAGUAAAUUCAUCUUGCAUGGCACGACGCCAAUGGGGGUCCUUGAGAGCAGAGCGAUAUGUAGGAGGGAUGGGAGAGAUGGCGUCGGGGGACGUGGUUGUGACGAAGAGGCGCUUGGGCUGGCAAGAACCAGCUUUGGAGCGGGUGCGCAUGUGAUGAGUGUUUAGCGGAGGUGCUGUUGGUAUUGCAUGCGGAGGGAGAGGCGGUGGGGUGCUGUGUGCUGGCGCGGAAACUGAGGAGGAUUUGGUGGAGGGAAUGGCCGCAACAGGCGAGACAGGCUCGGGAUCCGAGGAGGAUAGCGUGGCAGGCGCGGCAGAAGCGGGCGUGGGCGCGGCAGGUGGGGACGCGUUGGGAUCGGUGGGAGCAGGGGAACGGGGCGUGACGGGCGAGGAAGAUUCGGUCGGGUGGGUGACGGACGAGGCGCUGGUAGUGGGGGUAGGUGGCGCAGGGAAUGUGGAGGGUGAGGGGGUGAUGAUGGGUGCGACAGACUCGGUCGGCCGGGUGCAGUACGAGGUAGGUGCGGCAGGUGGGACUGGUGGGGGUGGCAGGUAGCGAAUCGGGCGGGAAGGAUCAGGUGUGGGAGGUAUGGGUGUGGGCGAGUUUGUGGCCGUAGCGUAGGGGAAGGAUGCUUCGUCAAAAACGACGUGGCGGGAGACUAUGACACGCCGCGAGGAGAGAUCGUAGCAUAUGUAACCCUUGUGCUCGAGGGGAUAUCCGAGGAAAACGCAGCGAGUAGAGCGAGGACAAAGUUUGUGAUCGGAUGUGGCGUAGAGGUUGGGAAAACAAAGGCAACCAAAGACCCGAAGGUGAUCAUAUGUGGGUUGGAUGCCAUGGAGACGAAGGAAAGGUGUGUGGCCGUCGAUGGCGCGGGAUGGUCGUCUGUUUAGGAGGUAGGUAGCGGUGUGAAGAGCCUCGACCCAAAAUGGAGGAGGGAGAUGAGCUUGGGCGAGAAGAGUGCGAACGGUGUCAUUGGUGGUGCGAAGGAGCCGUUCGGCUUUGCCGUUUUGCGGGGAGGUGUGAGGGCAAGAGAACCGAAAGGCAAUGUCGUUGAGGGAGAAGAAGGAGCGUAGGUGUGUGUUGAUGAAUUCCCCACCGUUGUCACACUGUAGGCCUUUGAUGAUUACGUUGUAUUGGGUUCGGACGAACGAGAAAAAGCGUUCGAGUGUGAGGGAAGUGUCGGACUUGUGUCGAAGAGGGAAUGACCAAGAGAAAUGCGAAUAAUCAUCCAAUACAACCAGAUAGUAUUUGUAACCCGAAAAGCUUACAACAGGAGACGUCCACAAAUCACAGUGUAUGAGGUCGAACGGUGCAUAGGUACGGCUGGUGGAGGAGGGGAAGGAGAGACGAGGUUGCCGACCUAGUCGGCAAGCAGUACAGGGAGAGGCGGGAGGUUUAUUACAAGGGGAAAGAAAAUCACUAGUAAUAGUAGAAAACGACUGCGCUCCAGGGUGGCCGAGGCGGCGGUGCCACAGGUCGGCGGUGGAGGUGGUGGCGGAGAGUGCAGCUGGCCACGUGGAGUUAUGCCCAAAGAAUGGGUAGAGAUCGCCGGAGCUAGCGGAGAUCAUGAGAACCUUCCUGGUGCGUAGAUCCUUCAAAAGAAAGCCAAACGGGUAAAAUUCAAUUGAGCAAGAGUUAUCACAUGUAAACUGGCGAACGGAGAUGAGGCUGGUGACGACGUGCGGAGAGAACAGAACGUCGCGAAGGUGGAAGGUGGAGGGAGAGAGAGUGGUGGAUCCGGUGCCAGUGAUUGGAAGACUUUGCCCAUUGCCGACGAAAAUGCUAGAUGGUUUAUGCUUUAAUGAAGAAGACGAGAGGGUCAAGUUACCAGGGUUGCCGGUGACGUGCGAGGUGGCGCCGCUGUCGAUGAACCAGUUGGAGGAGGAGCCCGCAGGUGGCUGGUUGUUGGCGCUGUAGGCGGCGUGCAACAUGGCGAGGUGAUCCCAGGUGGGCUGAUGUACCGGCGGUGAAGGAGCGGCCGGCAUGUGGUGAGCGUGGUAGGCCUGGGCAUGGGAGCCCGGAGCAGGACCAAGGACGCCGGCGGAGUUGGGAGGAACCCAGCCGGGGCGAGGUGGGGGAAUCGCCAUGCCGUAUGGGGCAAAGAACCCCAUGUAGGGGUUGUAUGGCAUAGAUAGUUGGGGGCCACGGCCGGAGGAGUCAGCACGUCCGCGACCACGGCCACGACCCCGUCCACGGCCGCGAUCACCGCCGUCCUGGCCACGACCACGACCAGUGGGUUGCGGAGGGCCGCGAUCGGUGGAGCCGGAGGACCGAUCACCAGAGCGCGGGGUGGAGGAGCCGGGGAAGUUGUUGUUGGUGACGGCGAGGAUAGUGGCGCGCUCGUCGGCCUCCCGUUGGAAGAGGUUCUCCUCGGCGAGCUUGAGACGGGAGAACACGGUCUCAAACGGGGGUAGAGGGACUAUGUCCCCGAGGACGACGCGGAUGGUGUCAAGCCGUUUGUCGAUGCCGUGGAGGAACUAAGUGGUGAGAUCCACCUCAGUGACCGGGUAGUCGAUGUCGGCGAGGCCGGCGGUGAGGAGCUUCAUGCGACGGGCAUAUUCGGCGACAGAGAGAUCGCCCUGUUUGAGAUUCCGGUACUGCCGAUUCAGGGUCAUGUAGCGGCGGCACGAUUGGCGAGGAAAUAGUCCCGGAUGCGCCCCCAAAGAUCAAAGGUAGUGGUGGCACCCACGACGUGAUCGAUGAGGGGAUCGGCCAGAGAGGAGUAGAUCCAAAGGACGAGGUGAGCAUCGAGUUCGCGGAGGUGGGCAUCGGUGUUGGGUGGUAGAGGUUGUUCGAUGAACUGGGAGACGCCGUAGCGGAGAAGAACGAGAAGGAAGAAGGACUUCCACUUGUGGUAGUUGUGAUCGUCGGGGUUCAGCUGGAAUUUGAUGUGGUUUUGGAUGCUGUCGUGGAAGAUCGGGUGGCGGGCGUGGGGAAUGGCGGGUGGAGGGGGUGGUGGGGCAGCGGAAGGGGGAACGGUGGUGGAGAAGAGAGGUGCAAAUGUAGAUGGGGGAGAAGGUGUACCGAAAACAAAGGGGAAAGAGGCGACGGUGGCGGCAGUGGCGGCAGGGCUAGAAGCCGCUGUGGUGUCGACGACCGUCGUCGGGGAAGAGGAGGUUUGGCCGGAGCCGGUGGCCGGCGCGGAGUGGAGGUCGGAGGAGGUCAUAGGAGGUGGGGGUGUGUGAUACCAAGUAAGAGAAUAUAUUCCUUCCAAUGAUCAACAUGUACAAUGGUGUUACAUAUAUAUAGCAGAGGUGGAGGAGAGCCUGUCCAGAUCCUACAUACAAAGACGGCUUAGACUAAGUGCUAUGACUAGGUAAAGGGUAACGUUAACAAAUACUAGUACAAGUACAAAUACGAAUUAUAAAGUGCAGUCGUAGUGCAUGAGUUGGUGGCCGAUUAGUUCUGAAGGUUCAUACCCGCGAUGACGCAAAGUUUGGCUCCCUCUGAGAUGAUGUCGAGAAGAAUGGGCGGCGGAGCAUACUUGUGUCGGAACACUGUAAUAUUUCUUUCGUUUCAAAUAAUCCAAGACACAAGGGAUGCUGACAUGAUGUCUACCCUGCUCGGUCGACUUAUCAACGGCAGUUUCUGGGCUCUUCUCCGCUUCCAAUUUCCAUAAGCUAUGGAAGGUGGAGGGCAAAAUGCCGCUUCUUGAUGUAGUUUGUGGUCGCGAGGUCAUGUCCUCACCAAUGACAAUAUUCAGAUGAGAGGGAUCCCGCAUGCUGCAUGUUGCCGCCUGUGCGAUCAGGAAGAGAAGAUCCCCUUCAUCUGAUCUAGAGUUUUUUUCGAGGCAAAAGCUUGAUCAGACACAAGGUAUUGCAACCUUUUCCCUAAGCCUCGGAAUCAACGUUGGAGUAGUAUGGUUUCAUCUUCCACAUGCCUCUAACGUCGGGUGUAGCUUGAUGGCAAUGUGAUAACUAGAUUCCAAAUGCCUCCAAAGCCCAUAUAUCUAUCUAGAGAUUACAAUGAGAUGAGCAAGCAGUGACCCAAUCAUUUCACCACCCCCGUUCUAUUGGUUUGAUGAAGAUUUCUCACCACUCU